Molecule: long non-coding RNA, 64 nt
Organism: Amphimedon queenslandica
Lineage: Eukaryota; Metazoa; Porifera; Demospongiae; Haplosclerida; Niphatidae
Exons: 2
Source: RefSeq, a predicted model, not a curated record
UCAUCACAUAAAGAGUCUUACAUAAUUCAAGACAAAGGCGUCAAGACAACACUAAGACUAAAAA